This is a long non-coding RNA of Neogale vison (American mink), 363 nucleotides long. RefSeq lists it as uncharacterized. The record is from RefSeq and is a predicted model, not a curated record. NCBI's taxonomy places the organism in Eukaryota, Metazoa, Chordata, Mammalia, Carnivora, Mustelidae. The transcript is spliced from 3 exons.
UAGGGGUAGCCUCCCUCCUCUCUGCUCAGUGGGGGCAAAAGCAACUGCUGGUGCCUGAUUUCUAAUGUUCUCCACAGCACCUAGCUGUUUCAGAUUUUAAUCUACUUCUUUUAUGCCCUUCACAGGACCUAAUAGAAGCUCCAGACCCAUAGGAGGCACAUCAGAAAAAAUAAAAAAUAAAAAAUACUCAUUCAGUUGGAUUAUAAUGUCCCUGAAGCCUGUGGACCCAUGCAAGCCAACUGUGAGAAGGCUUAAGGAGAAUGAGACGGUUCCUUAGACUUCCAUAACAGAAAUGUUGGCAUUAGAGUUAUACUAAAGGCCAAAUAAUAAUUAUAGGCUCCACACCCAGCAUGGAGCCCAACA